This 612-nucleotide ribosomal RNA is filed under the name Cicindela (Rivacindela) sp. JP-31. Its description in RNAcentral is "partial 16S ribosomal RNA". It matches the Rfam family "Bacterial large subunit ribosomal RNA", at positions 1844 to 2741 of the family's 2925-position model. The record is from RNAcentral. Lineage: Eukaryota; Metazoa; Arthropoda; Insecta; Coleoptera; Carabidae.
UUUAAGGUCUAACCUGCCCAAUGAGGAUUUAAAUGGCCGCAGUAUUUUGACUGUGCAAAGGUAGCAUAAUUAUUAGUUUUUUAAUUGAAAGCUUGUAUGAAGGGUUGGACGAGAUGAAAUCUGUCUUUAUUUAAAUUAAAAUAUAAUUUAACUUUUAAGUAAAAAGGCUUAAAUGUUUAUAAAAGACGAGAAGACCCUAUAGAUCUUUAUUUAAUUAAAAUUUUAAUAAUUUAGGAUUAUUUUAAUUUAAAGUUUUAAUUAAAUUUUAUUGGGGUAAUAUAAAGAUUAAAUAAAUUCUUUUUAUUUAUAACAUUGAUUUAUGAAUAUAUGAUCCAUUAAUAUUGAUUAUAAGAUUAAGUUACCUUAGGGAUAACAGCGUAAUUUUUUUGGAGAGCUCAUAUCGAUAAAAAAGUUUGCGACCUCGAUGUUGGAUUAAAAAUUAGCUUGGGUGCAGAAGCUCAAGAUUUUGGUCUGUUCGACCAUUAAAUUUUUACAUGAUCUGAGUUCAGACCGGCGUGAGCCAGGUCGGUUUCUAUCUUUAUUAAGAUAAAAUGUUUUAGUACGAAAGGACCAAAUAUUUAAUAUAAUUAUAUUUAAUUUUUGAAGAAUAUU